RNAcentral lists this ribosomal RNA (427 nucleotides) under uncultured bacterium. RNAcentral's name for it is "bacterial SSU rRNA". It matches the Rfam family "Bacterial small subunit ribosomal RNA", at positions 355 to 796 of the family's 1533-position model. The record is from RNAcentral.
UGGGGAAUUUUGUGCAAUGGGCGAAAGCCUGACACAGCGACACCGCGUGAGCGAAGAAGCCCUUUGGGGUGUAAAGCUCUGUCAACAGGGACGAAAAAAAUGACGGUACCUGUGGAGGAAGCAUCGGCUAACUACGUGCCAGCAGCCGCGGUAAGACGUAGGAUGCGAGCGUUGUCCGGAUUUAUUGGGCGUAAAGAGUUCGUAGGCGGUUCGUUAAGUCUGAUGUAAAAGGCACGGGCUCAACCCGUGUAUCGCAUUGGAUACUGGCGGACUAGAGUGCAGUAGAGGCAAGCGGAAUUCCCAGUGUAGCGGUGAAAUGCGUAGAUAUUGGGAAGAACACCGGUGGCGCAAGCGGCUUGCUGGGCUGUAACUGACGCUGAGGAACGAAAGCUAGGGUAGCGAAUGGGAUUAGAUACCCCCGUAGUCC